Molecule: ribosomal RNA, 285 nt
Filed under: Staphylococcus aureus
Lineage: Bacteria; Bacillati; Bacillota; Bacilli; Caryophanales; Staphylococcaceae
Description: partial 23S ribosomal RNA
Rfam family: Bacterial large subunit ribosomal RNA
Source: RNAcentral
CGAACCGACUUACGUUGAAAAGUGAGCGGAUGAACUGAGGGUAGCGGAGAAAUUCCAAUCGAACCUGGAGAUAGCUGGUUCUCUCCGAAAUAGCUUUAGGGCUAGCCUCAAGUGAUGAUUAUUGGAGGUAGAGCACUGUUUGGACGAGGGGCCCCUCUCGGGUUACCGAAUUCAGACAAACUCCGAAUGCCAAUUAAUUUAACUUGGGAGUCAGAACAUGGGUGAUAAGGUCCGUGUUCGAAAGGGAAACAGCCCAGACCACCAGCUAAGGUCCCAAAAUAUAUG